This 467-nucleotide ribosomal RNA is filed under the name uncultured bacterium. RNAcentral describes it as "partial 16S ribosomal RNA". It matches the Rfam family "Bacterial small subunit ribosomal RNA", at positions 29 to 507 of the family's 1533-position model. The record is from RNAcentral.
ACGAACGCUGGCGGCCUGCUUAACACCUGCAAGUCGAACGGAAAGGCCCUGCUUUUGUGGGGUGCUCGAGUGGCGAACGGGUGAGUAACACGUGAGUAACCUGCCCUUGACUUUGGGAUAACUUCAGGAAACUGGGGCUAAUACCGGAUAGGAGCUCCUGCUGCAUGGUGGGGGUUGGAAAGUUUCGGCGGUUGGGGAUGGACUCGCGGCUUAUCAGCUUGUUGGUGGGGUAGUGGCUUACCAAGGCUUUGACGGGUAGCCGGCCUGAGAGGGUGACCGGCCACAUUGGGACUGAGAUACGGCCCAGACUCCUACGGGAGGCAGCAGUGGGGAAUAUUGCACAAUGGGCGGAAGCCUGAGGCAGCAACGCCGCGUGCGGGAUGACGGCCUUCGGGUUGUAAACCGCUUUCGCCUGUGACGAAGCGUGAGUGACGGUAAUGGGUAAAGAAGCACCGGCUAACUACGUG